Molecule: ribosomal RNA, 253 nt
Filed under: uncultured bacterium
Lineage: Bacteria
Description: partial 16S ribosomal RNA
Rfam family: Bacterial small subunit ribosomal RNA
Source: RNAcentral
GACGAACCGUGCGAACGUUGUUCGGAUUCACUGGGCUUAAAGGGCGCGUAGGCGGGCCAUCAAGUCAGGGGUGAAAUCUUUCGGCUCAACCGGAAAAGUGCCUUUGAUACUGGUGGUCUCGAGGGAGGUAGGGGCAUGCGGAACUUCCGGUGGAGCGGUGAAAUGCGUAGAUAUCGGAAGGAACGCCGGUGGCGAAAGCGGCGUGCUGGACCUCUUCUGACGCUGAGGCGCGAAAGCUAGGGGAGCAAACGGG